UAAUACAAUUCCGAUUUGUUUUUCUCAGAAUUGUGAGUUUAUAUCUGAGAAUCUCAGAAAUGUGAGAACAAAACUUACAAUUACAUUUUUGUUUUUAAUCUCAAGGCGGAAACAAGCUUCCAUAGUAACCUGUUUGUGUAAGUUCUCAAUCAUUUCAGAUGUCGACUAUACCUUUAUUUUUGCGUGAUUGUAGCUUAUAAUAAAGUCUGCAGUGGUCUUUUCCAGUUUUUCACAUUGAAAAACAAUUGUUUAUUCAAACGGUCACCUUCAUGAACGUAGAGGAAUUGUCCGUAUUGUACAAAGAAAAGGGUAACAAUUUACAAAUACAACAUGCUGACAAAGGAUAUGCAAUCAUUUCUUGGAUGGCAAACAAGUAGUUGUACAUGAAAAAAAAAAAAAGAAAAUCAAACAACAAUGCAAUGUCAUACAAAGAACAUCAUUGUAGGCCAAACCUCUGAACGGUUUGUCAUCCGAUCAGUUUGUGGAGUAAAAUCGAUGUCAUUUAUAUCUCUGAAUCACAGUGUAAUGCCAUGAACAAAAGACAUCACAAUUUUAUCGAAAAGAAAUCUAUAUACAUUGAUAAUGUUAAUUCCGUAAUGUACAUGAAUAGUAAAAGUUUACAGUCAAAAAAAGUAAUCGAAUCUGCCCUCCCUAUUUUGACUAAAAAAAUAGAAAUUAAUAUCUCUAAGUGUAAUACUUUUUCCUUUUAAAAACAAUAAAAUACAUACAAUGCCUUGCACUCGACCUGUUCUGCUUUUCUAGCUUGCUGUAGAAAACCGCAUUAGGGUUUUUUGUUACUAGGUUAUUUAAGGUCAUUUAUCAAAAUUAUAUUCUCUCAAUUUAGACUUUUACACUGGGAGUUGCCAAAGUUGUUGUUUUGGGUAACAGUGAAUCAAUCGUACGACGUUGGGUGGUUUGUCAAGCCACAAAGCAAGCCUUAGCAUAUCCAAGAAGAGACAAGUUCAGCUUAAUUAAAAAUAAAAAUAAAGGAAUAUCAUUCACAUAUACCAAUACAGUAAAACCGAGCCAAGCAUUGAGCCAAAGAUGUGCUAACCUGUCCAGAAAUCUGUACAAUAGGCUCCAGUAUUUUGAUGAUGUUGGGUGAAAAACAAUCCGGUCCAGGGAGUUUGUUGGCCAGGUUUGGCUUGGAGGAUACUUAGGUUUGUGCAAGGCACUAUGGAUCCACCAGGGGGCGCUCAAUUUAUUCCCCGAAACACAUUUGAGAGGCAACGAAAGAUGCGAAAUGCUUUAGAGAUGCACGACUGGCAUCCAAAGUCAUCGUUUUUGCAGUUUUCCAUCCGUUUUUCUCGUACGAUUAAGCUAGCUGUGGAUAAAAUUGACGCUCCUCCGAUAAACAAAACCCAACGCUCACAUCUCCCUGAGGAAAAUAAAACGUUUCUAUGGCACAUAGGAUUGUCCGCGAGAGUAUUUAUGAACGCAUGUGUAAGGAGAGGCAGGUGAAGUCCGUGUUUACUAUAAACUAUGGCAUUGAUAGAAAUUUUCACAGUAGAAAACACAUGGAACAAAAAAAAAAAAGACAUUGACAAUCACAUUUGGUGCAAACAAACCAAAAAAACCAGUGAACAAGUUUUUGUAUGUGAAACUACUUAACUCAGGGCAUUAGAAAGUUUGUUCGGUAAGAUACUGCAGUGAGCGAAGAAGAGCUGUUUCACCUAGUGAAUCACAAAUGGGUUGUACGCCCACUGUAACUACAUAGCCUAGCCCAAAAAAAUAAAAAUAAUCGCAAAUUGUUUUGUGGCCGUUUUUGUGCAAAAAACUGUGAUUCAGUAGUCUCUCAGGAAGUGACUUGAAAGGUUAAAUAGAGCUUAAAUCACAGAAAACAUACAUACUAAAAUGUUUGCGAAUUAACAAGUGGCUUUACGAAAAAUAUUGUAUUAUUCAAAUAAGUGCUUCAUGUAAUAGACAAAGAAAUAAAACUCUAUAAUACCUCAUUCAGAUUAGCAGAGCCAAACAAUGUACCGUAAAUUAAAAACCAGUUUUUCCGCACACCUAAGGUUGUACCUUAGUGAUACUCUUUUUCGUACACUUUUUCAUUUGGAUCAACUUUCGUUUUAUCUCAUUUUUCACAACUAAACUGCUCUGCGUAUUUCAAACGACUCGAAAGAAAGACAUCGCCCGUUAAAGUGAAUCUUUGGGUUCUAAGCUUUCUCCAAAAUCAAAAUCAAAUAAAGGAGAGCAAGGGAAGUGAUCCGUAAACAUAAUUGCGAGAGAGAACCUCUAGUGGCCGAAUUUGGGAUUGCGGACAUGGUUUUUGCUGCCCCGAAACAAGCCUGUUAAAGAAAUUCAAACAACUAAAGAGAGAUGCACUUGGCUCUAAAACAUUUCUAACAACAUACUGAGGUAGACUGUGUCCAAACAACCAACAGAAAGACAUUAGCGCUAAUAAACCAACUGCGUUCGUGACCUCGCCAGCUGUUACUCUCUUUAAACAAAAAAUAAACAACUAAACGACUAGUUUUACCCGCCUUAGAGUAUUGUAAUAAAAGCUAACAGGGAUUUACAUAAUUAUGAGGAUCAUAAAAUAAAUAAAAUAUCAAUAUUUGCCUUUUCAAAGAUAUGUAAUCUUGUUAUUUAGGGAAAAAAAAUCUGCUCACUGCUACAGGAAAAAAAAAAUUUUUUCUUUGUAAUAGUGUAAGAAAAGCUACAAGCAAGUUUGAUUUCUUUGAUUCUGCUAUGUGCAUUUAAAAUUAAGCCAAUGGGACCAAGAAAGGGAACAUUUAUGUUAAAAGGCUACGGUAAGGUGAGAGCAAGGUGAGAAAAAAAAAAAACAUGAAAUGGCAAACACGCUUACUAAAGCUUACGUGUGAAUUUCAGCCUCGUUCUGUCGUUUCCCUCCCAAACUACCCACAAAUAAAUAUACAUACACACAAAUAUGCACGCACACACAGGAAAUGUGCACAUUUUUGAUGAUGACAAGUAAGAUCCAGUAAAAGCGCCAUCUCUCUUGCCUCUGGCAAUCGGAGAAGGCACAAAGUUGAGGAAUUGAGCAUCUGCCUACCAAAGCUGUCUGCGUUUUAUCUUUAAAGGAUUAUUUGGGAAAAAGCGGCAUCAUUCUGACAGAGAAGGAAGUUUACUUUCCCUGUGGUCUUCUAAGACUUCCCUUUCUCAGAACUAGAGCGUAAACGUCUUUAUUAUGCGAAGCCGUGCGAGAACUACACUCACUUUUGAUACUUUAACAGGUACCGGAGCCUGAUCGGGGAUAAAUUACAGGAAUGUUUUAAUGAUCCGAUUUAAAUAUUACCAGGUCGAAUAUUCCUGCUGUCGAAAAACGAACAACCUAGAAUCCCUCGGUAAAGCAUAUCUUUCACAAUAACAUCCUAAAUCCACCAGAAAAAUCAGGUAAAUAGUAAAUCGAGCCAAAAACAACCUCUCAUAUCCCACAGAAAA
Molecule: long non-coding RNA, 3408 nt
Organism: Sinocyclocheilus anshuiensis
Lineage: Eukaryota; Metazoa; Chordata; Actinopteri; Cypriniformes; Cyprinidae
Exons: 3
Source: RefSeq, a predicted model, not a curated record